AAUAAGCCCUAUCGAAGCUGUCUGGAGUUAGGUACUUCAGAACAGUCAAAAUGAGGCCGAUAUUGAAUCUUUGAUAUUAUGGUCGCAUCGUGCUUUAUCUACGCACCGUGCAUUACCCAUAUCAAAAACAAUA
Molecule: small nucleolar RNA, 133 nt
Organism: Vanessa atalanta (red admiral)
Lineage: Eukaryota; Metazoa; Arthropoda; Insecta; Lepidoptera; Nymphalidae
Source: RefSeq, a predicted model, not a curated record